RNAcentral lists this ribosomal RNA (656 nucleotides) under Sterigmatomyces halophilus. Its description in RNAcentral is "eukaryotic LSU rRNA". The stretch from base 194 to 348 matches the Rfam family "5.8S ribosomal RNA". The record is from RNAcentral. Lineage: Eukaryota; Fungi; Basidiomycota; Agaricostilbomycetes; Agaricostilbales; Agaricostilbaceae.
UCCGUAGGUGAACCUGCGGAAGGAUCAUUAAUGAAUUCGGGGGCUCGACUCUGAAAUAUUGAGAUCGGGCCCAUUUCUUAAUCCACUUCACACUUGUGCACAUUUUUCCUACUUUCCUUCGGGAGAGUUUGAAAAGCUCUUGUGAUUUUAAUCAAGUCCAGGAUGUGAAUCCAAUUUGAAUAAGUUGUAAAACAACUACAAACGGUGGAUCUCUUGGGUCUCGUAUCGAUGAAGAACGCAGCGAAACGCGAAAUGUAAUGUGAAUUGCAGAAUUCAGUGAAUCAUCGAAUCUUUGAACGCAUCUUGCACUCUCGAAUCACUAUCGAGAGUAUGCCUGUUUGAGUGUCGCGAAACUCUCAACCCCGCCUCAUGCUUUAUUGCGUGUGGGUAGCUUGGGGUUGGAUCAUGAUCUUUGCAGUAAUGCGCUAGCAGAACUGCUGGAUUGAAAUACAACAAGCUGAAUCUAUAUACUUGCGGGUUGACCUGUCGUUGUAAGCACACAAAUGCAUUCGAUGGGGACGCGAGAAAAUGGAAUGAGCUUUCCAAAUGUGUUACACUUUGCAGCUUCUAUUAACUUAGAGCUCUUAGUGCAUUCUGACCUCAAAUCAGGUAGGAUUACCCGCUGAACUUAAGCAUAUCAAUAAGCGGAGGAAAAG